Labrus mixtus (cuckoo wrasse) is the source of this 756-nucleotide long non-coding RNA. RefSeq lists it as uncharacterized. The record is from RefSeq and is a predicted model, not a curated record. The transcript has 3 exons. Lineage: Eukaryota; Metazoa; Chordata; Actinopteri; Labriformes; Labridae.
CCAGUAUUUCUGAACUUGUUGACACCAUCACUGAACAAGCACCAGCCAAGGCAGUGCAGGACAUGGUGAAGUACUUGGUGUAUGAGGACUGGCUCCUGGAGCUUUUUAAAAUCUGCCCCACCUGCUCCAGACUCUGUGAAGCUGACACGUUUGUUAAAGGAACAUUCCUCUCUGUAACCCAGAAGUGCCUCCACACGAGUGUCUCCUCCUCAAGACUCCACAGCCCUGAUAACACCUGCUGAGAGUGAGAGGAGGGGAGAGGACACCAACUAGAGAACCCAGAACUAUGGAAGCCAAGUUAGUAACAUACAUGUGUGGGAAUGGAUUUGUACAGAAAGAGAGGGAAUGGAGGAACGUAUUCAAAGUUUAUUAAAUAAAUGAAAUAACUUUAUAUAAAACACAUGUCCAAACAUAACAAUACAUUAACUUGGAAAUAAUUUAAAUUGGAGGCCUAAAACCGGUGUACUCUUCCUCUUCAUCAGGGUACUCCUGGUGGAUACGGACAACAACGCAGGAAGGUAUCACUACCCGGUUGUGCUUUCCCAGGUAUCCCCAGCACCAGGAAACAAAGGAUGCCAGCACAUCAUGAUCCCUAGAAGAUGAAAGAUGGAUCAACCUGCAGCGUGCCUGAAAUCUAUUUGGCUGUAUGGAUUGGCCUGGACAUCUGUUUUUUUUUCUUUGUUUGCUUUAAGUUACAUUAAUUAUCCACAACCAUACAUUUUUAGUUUUGACGAAUAAUCCAGUUGUUGUGAAGCG